RNAcentral lists this ribosomal RNA (252 nucleotides) under uncultured bacterium. Its description in RNAcentral is "partial 16S ribosomal RNA". It matches the Rfam family "Bacterial small subunit ribosomal RNA", at positions 524 to 776 of the family's 1533-position model. The record is from RNAcentral.
CACGUAGGGGCAAGCGUUGUCCGGAUUUAUUGGGCGUAAAGGGCGCGUAGGCGGUCACGCACGUCCGGGGUGAAAUCUUUCGGCUUAACCGGAAAAGGGCCCUGGAUACGGCGUGACUGGAGGGGGAGAGGGGCGGACGGAACUUCCGGUGGAGCGGUGAAAUGCGUUGAUAUCGGAAGGAACGCCGGUGGCGAAAGCGGUCCGCUGGAUCCCUACUGACGCUGAGGCGCGAAAGCCAGGGGAGCGAACGGG